GCUUGGCCGAGCGGUUAAGGCGAUAGACUCGAAAUCUAUUGGGAAACCCGCGUGAGUUCAAAUCUCACAGC
This 71-nucleotide transfer RNA is filed under the name Pythium insidiosum. RNAcentral describes it as "tRNA-Ser". It matches the Rfam family "tRNA", at positions 5 to 66 of the family's 71-position model. From Rfam's summary of the family: Transfer RNA (tRNA) molecules are approximately 80 nucleotides in length. Lineage: Eukaryota; Oomycota; Peronosporomycetes; Pythiales; Pythiaceae. The record is from RNAcentral.